UUGUGGAACAUGGGGAGGUUGGGGCCUGCCUCACUUACUUGGCCAUUUGGGAUUAGAGAAUCAAUGGGAGAUUAAAAUGGUGAUUUGUUGGGUGGGAUUAUAUGGGAUAUUGUGUUGAAAGCCACCAUGUUUUUCACUCGGGACUUCCCCCUCUUCACACUUUACAGACGAUAUUUGGAUAUAUGCUUCUGAAGUUCUGAUAUUCCACACUUAAAGCUAGAGUGGUGGAUAAGGAAGGUUACAAGGCAAGUAAAAGACCAAUUAUUGAUACCCUCUUUUUAGCUGGAGGGAAUCUCUCAUACACUCAAUUUCUUUGGGUAAUGCAGGAGCUAUGGAUUGCAUGUUUUAUAGUCAAAUACCUAAUGGCCCCUUUUGAGGUUAAGCACAAACAAUGGGGCUUUUGAGGUUGAACUUUGGUUAGGAUUCAGUUGUUGAACUGAUCAAUAAAAAGAUAUUAGAAG
RNAcentral lists this long non-coding RNA (461 nucleotides) under Rosa chinensis. RNAcentral describes it as "sRNA RchiOBHm_Chr5g0023081". Lineage: Eukaryota; Viridiplantae; Streptophyta; Magnoliopsida; Rosales; Rosaceae. The record is from RNAcentral.